Molecule: long non-coding RNA, 240 nt
Filed under: Homo sapiens (human)
Lineage: Eukaryota; Metazoa; Chordata; Mammalia; Primates; Hominidae
Description: non-protein coding lnc-FCN2-2:1
Source: RNAcentral
CUGACACACCACAACAACUACCCCUUCUCCACCGAAGACCAAGACAACGACCGAGAUGCUGAAAACUGUGCCGUGCACUAUCAGGGAGCCUGGUGGUAUGCCAGCUGUCACCUGUCACACCUGAAUGGUGUCUACCUCGGGGGGGCCCGUGACAGCUUUACAAACGGCAUCAACUGGAAGUCGGGGAAAGGGAACAACUACAGCUACAAGGUGUCGGAGAUGAAGGUGCGGCCCACCUAG